GAGGAGGAUGGCAGCAAAAAGGAAGAACCUGGCUAUAAAAAUUAUCUUACAAAGAAACCUACCAUCAAGGUAUUGAUAGUCAAAAAACAUGCGGAGGAACUCAAACGAGUGAAAAUGGAGUGGUCUGCAGUAAUUGCCCCCACAACAUCUGAGCCACAGCCUGGACCUUCAUCAGAGCAGUCCCCUGUUCCAGAAAACCUGUGGCAGACAAACCAACAAUGUAACAGUGGACUCCAUCAUUGAGGUCCAGCACUACUUUGUGGAGGGAAACAUUCCAACAUCAGAGGAUCCUUUAACGUACUGAGGGAAUAGGUAGACAUCUUAUCUGAACUUUUUCCACCUGGCUUUACAGUUUUUGUGUACCCCAGCUUCAUCUGUGCCCUGUGAGUGUGUGUUUUCCAACGCUGGGGAAAUGGUGUCAAAUAAACGCAAGAGAAAACAUUGGAUAAAGUUAUUUUUCUGAAUAAAAAUUCAUAAUAAACUCUGAGUCAAUUACAUUUAAAUGGGUAAUAUUACAUUCACAAUACUUUUAUUUUAAUUUUCACUUAAUCUCUUUCACACUAUAUUUUAAAUGUCUACAAUAUUUGAAAUGUAAAAGGUAUAAAAUGAUUGCAUGCAAAGUACAAUACCUUACAGUGUACAAGUAUAACUAGGUCAUUGAAUCAGUGUCUGUUGUGAGUCUCAAGUCAGUUGCCUGCAAUGAUAUUUAAGGUCCAGCAGGUGUCAGUAUGGAGCAAAACAGCAACACUGUGUCGACACAGUAUCGAUACAGUUUGGGGAAUGUGCUGAAACGCUUCACGAGGCCUCAUCUAUCCAUCACUAUUGCUUGGUAUCCUGAAUCUGAAGGUAGAGCAUGAACCAAGGAUUUGUGCCAAGAUUAAUCCAGAAACUGCAGCACAAGAAAGUUUCGGUAACCAGGUAAAUCACAGUGAGAACUUGAAACAUGAACACCAGUUACCAACAUGGCCCAUGCAGUAAAUCUUAUUGAUUUACUGCAAAAGGACUCAAGAAGUGAAAGUUAUCAGGCCUUAUUCCAGUUUUUAAAAUAGAGUAAAUUGUUUGGAAGAAUUUGAGGGUCGAUGUUCCAGUUUACACUCCACACCAGUUGGUGGCGGUAAUUCACCAUUUUGUUGUUUGACAACAACAAAUACAAUUUCUAGGAAAAGGAAGAAGAAGGAUGGGCGAAACAAAUCGAGGAUGAUCCACGAGAGGAGGGCCGUUUAUCAAUGCCCAAGUACGCGAGCACGGACUCAUGAUUUGUACAGUCGGAACACCAGCGUACGUGAUGAUGUCACAGGUCCGGAGUUUUUACUGCCAUCCCCUCUUAAUGUAAC
Molecule: long non-coding RNA, 1334 nt
Organism: Oreochromis aureus
Lineage: Eukaryota; Metazoa; Chordata; Actinopteri; Cichliformes; Cichlidae
Exons: 3
Source: RefSeq, a predicted model, not a curated record